Molecule: long non-coding RNA, 1783 nt
Organism: Oryctolagus cuniculus (rabbit)
Lineage: Eukaryota; Metazoa; Chordata; Mammalia; Lagomorpha; Leporidae
Source: Ensembl
GGGAAGCCGGGAGGAGUGGGCAGAGGCUCUCUGCUGGGCCCUGCCUCCCAGGAUGACCCCAGGCUCAGGACCAGCAGGCCCCACAAUAGGACUUGGCUCUGCACCCUCACCAAAGCUGCUGCCGGAGCUCCAGCCCUGCUCCCUGCCUCUGAUGGGUGUAUGGGGCGGGGGGCUCCCAGGGAAAAGGCUGUGCCCCCACCUGCCCAAGUACAAAGGAGCCCACUGAGGGACACCAGAGGGGGAGGGGCAAGGGAUGAGGUGUCCCCUGCCCCUUUCAGGAGCUGAGGAGCUCCAGAGCCUGCACCUGCCUUCUGAUGAGAAAGGCCGGGGAUUACUCCCACCACCCCCAUGCCGGGCCCCCUCUGCCUUCGCUGUCCCAGUGGGCAGGCAGGAGUGGGGCUGCUCAUCGGACAGAAGUGCCUGCCUGUCUUGGUCCCCGUGGUGAAUGGCAGUCUGAUCCCUCGGGUGAGGCAUCAAAAUAGUGAGUGUGGGGGAGCUGGGGAGGCUGGCGUGACACCCAACUACUUGCCUGCACCCCGGGGCCUGGGGUGGGGUAUCAUCCCCCAUGGAGAGCCUCGGGCCUUGGGUGUGGGUGCAGGAAGAAGACAGGCAGGCACCCUCUGGGCCAAGGGACCCCCUCCCUGCCUGGGACUCUGCAUCCCCUGUGGUGGGGGCCCUCUCCCCAUCCUGCACCCAUCUGCCCUGACCCCAGCAGGUAACAGAACUGAACAGAUCACCAUCUUCUGCCCUGCUGUUUCCCGACUCUGGCACGGGGACCAGUGACACGACUUGUGCCUCAGUGUCCUCAUCUGUAAAGUGGCCACGGGCUGCCAAGGGCCGUCAGAGGAGAUCAUCAUGCGGAGCCCAGCACCUCCAAGGCCCUGCCUGUCUCUCUCUCCUUACUCCUCCUCCUGCCACAUGCGUUGCGGCCUUCAUGACAGGACUCUGGGAUGGACAAUGCCACAGUCACUUGGGGCCAGGGGCAGAGGUGGUCAGGCCAGGGCUGGGGUCUCUCCUGGCCCAGAAUGCAUCCCCCCGCGGCUCCCUCUGGCCUGGCACUUUCUAUCCAGGGGCCCAAGGAGGAGUCUGUGGCAGUGGGCUGCUUGGUUUGGGGGGGUGGCCAACAUCAAGUUACGGCUCCCCAGAGACCCCCACGCCUGCAUGCCAAGGUCUUUGUCUCCUUUCUCGAAGGGGAUCAGUGUUUCUCCUGCCCAGGGCUGUCCUCUUAGGGUCAGUAUGAGGAUGGCCAGCCACUCUGGCUGGAUUCUUCCUACCACUCACUGAUCGCAGGCUUGGGGAGUGGUGCUGGGGUGCUGCCUCUGGGCCUCCUUGAUCCAUACCCAAGCCUGUGGCCUCCGCUCCCCAGGGUCUCUUCUUCCUCCCCCUCCCCAGGUGAGUCCCACCUGCUGUUGCAGGAGGCCAAGGCCCCAGCCCCGAGGGCCCUCCAUCCAGCCCUGUCCCUGGACACCUGGUCAAUGAUUAACACUGAGCAAACGGGAGCCGGGCCUCCCAGCAGAGUCAGGGCCACACAAAGGCCCUCCUGUCUGGCUGAGCUGCCAUCUUGGUGGGGGGUUACUGGCCACUCAGUCAAAUGCAGUGACAAACACCCCAGCUCCAGCAGGGAGUAGGCAUGGCCAGGCCGGGAGUGGGCUGGGGUUUGCUCACCUGCCAGUUCUCAAGUCCCAGCUUCGUGCUUGUUAGCAAGCCCAGGACAGAGGCCGGUAGGCUGGGGGCCCUCGGCGGGGCUGGCUGCACAACCCUGGCUUGUGCGGUCAGGGGCUGG